GCAGCGCGGGCUUCGGCCUGGCGGCGAGUGGCGAACGGGUGAGUAACAUAUCGGAACGUGCCCUGGAGUGGGGGAUAACUAGUCGAAAGACUAGCUAAUACCGCAUACGAUCCAUGGAUGAAAGCGGGGGAUCGCAAGACCUCGUGCUCCUGGAGCGGCCGAUAUCUGAUUAGCUAGUUGGUGGGGUAAAGGCCCACCAAGGCGACGAUCAGUAGCUGGUCUGAGAGGACGACCAGCCACACUGGGACUGAGACACGGCCCAGACUCCUACGGGAGGCAGCAGUGGGGAAUUUUGGACAAUGGGGGCAACCCUGAUCCAGCAAUGCCGCGUGUGUGAAGAAGGCCUUCGGGUUGUAAAGCACUUUUGUCCGGAAAGAAAUCGCUCUGGUUAAUACCUGGGGUGGAUGACGGUACUGGAAGAAUAAGCACCGGCUAACUACGUGCCAGCAGCCGCGGUAAUACGUAGGGUGCGAGCGUUAAUCGGAAUUACUGGGCGUAAAGCGUGCGCAGGCGGUUGUGCAAGACAGAUGUGAAAUCCCCGGGCUUAACCUGGGAAUGGCAUUUGUGACUGCACGGCUAGAGUGUGUCAGAGGGGGGUAGAAUUCCACGUGUAGCAGUGAAAUGCGUAGAUAUGUGGAGGAAUACCGAUGGCGAAGGCAGCCCCCUGGGAUAACACUGACGCUCAUGCACGAAAGCGUGGGG
This 702-nucleotide ribosomal RNA is filed under the name Herbaspirillum sp. Its description in RNAcentral is "bacterial SSU rRNA". It matches the Rfam family "Bacterial small subunit ribosomal RNA", at positions 69 to 766 of the family's 1533-position model. The record is from RNAcentral. Lineage: Bacteria; Pseudomonadati; Pseudomonadota; Betaproteobacteria; Burkholderiales; Oxalobacteraceae.